GCAGCAGUGGGGAAUAUUGCACAAUGGGGGAAACCCUGAUGCAGCAACGCCGCGUGAGUGAAGAAGUAUUUCGGUAUGUAAAGCUCUAUCAGCAGGGAAGAAAAAAGACGGUACCUGACUAAGAAGCCCCGGCUAACUACGUGCCAGCAGCCGCGGUAAUACGUAGGGGGCAAGCGUUAUCCGGAUUUACUGGGUGUAAAGGGAGCGUAGACGGCAUAGCAAGUCUGAAGUGAAAGCCCGUGGCUCAACCGCGGAACUGCCUUGGAAACUGUUAAGCUGGAGUACUGGAGAGGCAAGCGGAAUUCCUAGUGUAGCGGUGAAAUGCGUAGAUAUUAGGAGGAACACCAGUGGCGAAGGCGGCUUGCUGGACAGAGACUGACGUUGAGGCUCGAAAGCGUGGGGAGCAAACAGGAUUAGAUACCCUGGUAGUCCACGCGGUAAACGAUGAAUGCUAGGUGUUGGCGGGCAAAGCCCGUCG
Molecule: ribosomal RNA, 478 nt
Filed under: uncultured bacterium
Lineage: Bacteria
Description: bacterial SSU rRNA
Rfam family: Bacterial small subunit ribosomal RNA
Source: RNAcentral